RNAcentral lists this ribosomal RNA (497 nucleotides) under uncultured bacterium. RNAcentral's name for it is "partial 16S ribosomal RNA". It matches the Rfam family "Bacterial small subunit ribosomal RNA", at positions 28 to 507 of the family's 1533-position model. The record is from RNAcentral.
GAUGAACGCUGGCGGCGUGCCUAAUACAUGCAAGUCGAGCGAACGGACGAGAAGCUUGCUUUUCUGAUGUUAGCGGCGGACGGGUGAGUAACACGUGGAUAACCUACCUAUAAGACUGGGAUAACUUCGGGAAACCGGAGCUAAUACCGGAUAAUAUUUUGAACCGCAUGGUUCAAAAGUGAAAUACGGUCUUGCUGUCACUUCUAGAUGGAUCCGCGCUGCAUUAGCUAGUUGGUAAGGUAACGGCUUACCAAGGCAACGAUGCAUAGCCGACCUGAGAGGGUGAUCGGCCACACUGGAACUGAGACACGGUCCAGACCCCUACGGGAGGCAGCAGUAGGGAAUCUUCCGCAAUGGGCGAAAGCCUGACGGAGCAACGCCGCGUGAGUGAUGAAGGUCUUCGGAUCGUAAAACUCUGUUAUUAGGGAAGAACAUAUGUGUAAGUAACUGUGCACAUCUUGACGGUACCUAAUCAGAAAGCCACGGCUAACUACGUG